This 849-nucleotide ribosomal RNA is filed under the name uncultured bacterium. RNAcentral's name for it is "bacterial SSU rRNA". It matches the Rfam family "Bacterial small subunit ribosomal RNA", at positions 8 to 814 of the family's 1533-position model. The record is from RNAcentral.
AGAGUUUGAUCCUGGCUCAGAAUGAACGCUGGCGGCGUGCCUAAUACAUGCAAGUCGAACGCUUUGUCUUUAACUGAUCUGACGAGCUUGCUCUGAUUUGAUUUUAUCUGACAAAGAGUGGCGAACGGGUGAGUAACACGUGGGUAACCUACCUCUUAGCAGGGGAUAACAUUUGGAAACAAGUGCUAAUACCGUAUAAUACCAACAACCGCAUGGUUGUUGAUUGAAAGAUGGUUCUGCUAUCACUAAGAGAUGGACCCGCGGUGCAUUAGCUAGUUGGUAAGGUAACGGCUUACCAAGGCGAUGAUGCAUAGCCGAGUUGAGAGACUGAUCGGCCACAAUGGGACUGAGACACGGCCCAUACUCCUACGGGAGGCAGCAGUAGGGAAUCUUCCACAAUGGGCGCAAGCCUGAUGGAGCAACGCCGCGUGUGUGAUGAAGGGUUUCGGCUCGUAAAACACUGUUAUAAGAGAAGAACGGCACUGAGAGUAACUGUUCAGUGUGUGACGGUAUCUUACCAGAAAGGAACGGCUAAAUACGUGCCAGCAGCCGCGGUAAUACGUAUGUUCCAAGCGUUAUCCAGAUUUAUUGGGCGUAAAGCGAGCGCAGACGGUUAUUUAAGUCUGAAGUGAAAGCCCUCAGCUCAACUGAGGAAUGGCUUUGGAAACUGGAUGACUUGAGUGCAGUAGAGGAAAGUGGAACUCCAUGUGUAGCGGUGAAAUGCGUAGAUAUAUGGAAGAACACCAGUGGCGAAGGCGGCUUUCUGGACUGUAACUGACGUUGAGGCUCGAAAGUGUGGGUAGCAAACAGGAUUAGAUACCCUGGUAGUCCACACCGUAAACGAUGAGU